This 251-nucleotide ribosomal RNA is filed under the name uncultured bacterium. RNAcentral's name for it is "partial 16S ribosomal RNA". It matches the Rfam family "Bacterial small subunit ribosomal RNA", at positions 524 to 776 of the family's 1533-position model. The record is from RNAcentral.
UACGGAGGGAGCUAGCGUUAUUCGGAAUUACUGGGCGUAAGCGCACGUAGGCGGCUUUGUAAGUAAGAGGUGAAAGCCCAGAGCUCAACUCUGGAAUUGCCUUUUAGACUGCAUCGCUUGAAUCAUGGAGAGGUCAGUGGAAUUCCGAGUGUAGAGGUGAAAUUCGUAGAUAUUCGGAAGAACACCAGUGGCGAAGGCGGCUGACUGGACAUGUAUUGACGCUGAGGUGCGAAAGCGUGGGAGCAAACAGG